This is a small nuclear RNA of Suncus etruscus (white-toothed pygmy shrew), 107 nucleotides long. The record is from RefSeq and is a predicted model, not a curated record. Lineage: Eukaryota; Metazoa; Chordata; Mammalia; Eulipotyphla; Soricidae.
GUACUCACUUCGGCAGCAUAUAUACUAAAAUUAGAACAAUACAGAGAAGAUUAGCAUUGCCCCUGCGCAAGGAUGAUAUACAAAUUCGUGAAGCAUUCCAUAUUUUU